UAGGAGAUAGCUUAUACAAAGCUAUACAUUGAAGCUGUAUCGAAAGGUCCGUCCUUCUUCUAG
Molecule: transfer RNA, 63 nt
Filed under: Bulla sp. TLT-2006
Lineage: Eukaryota; Metazoa; Mollusca; Gastropoda; Cephalaspidea; Bullidae
Description: tRNA-Phe
Source: RNAcentral